RNAcentral lists this transfer RNA (73 nucleotides) under Siminovitchia fortis. RNAcentral describes it as "Bacillus fortis tRNA". It matches the Rfam family "tRNA". Rfam says of the family: Transfer RNA (tRNA) molecules are approximately 80 nucleotides in length. Their secondary structure includes four short double-helical elements and three loops (D, anti-codon, and T loops). Further hydrogen bonds mediate the characteristic L-shaped molecular structure. tRNAs have two regions of fundamental functional importance: the anti-codon, which is responsible for specific mRNA codon recognition, and the 3' end, to which the tRNAs corresponding amino acid is attached (by aminoacyl-tRNA synthetases). tRNAs cope with the degeneracy of the genetic code in two manners: having more than one tRNA (with a specific anti-codon) for a particular amino acid; and 'wobble' base-pairing, i.e. permitting non-standard base-pairing at the 3rd anti-codon position. Lineage: Bacteria; Bacillati; Bacillota; Bacilli; Caryophanales; Bacillaceae. The record is from Rfam by way of RNAcentral.
GCUGGUGUAGCACAGAUGGUAGUGCACAUCACUCGUAAUGAUGGGGUCGCAGGUUCAAGUCCUGUCACCAGCA